UACGUAGGGGGCAAGCGUUGUCCGGAAUCAUUGGGCGUAAAGGGCUCGUAGGUGGCCAACUAAGUCAGACGUGAAAUCCCUCGGCUUAACCGGGGAACUGCGUCUGAUACUGGAUGGCUUGAGUUUGGGAGAGGGACGCGGAAUUCCAGGUGUAGCGGUGAAAUGCGUAGAUAUCGUCAAGAACACCUAUAGCGAAGGCAGCUUACUAGGCUGUAACUGACGCUGAGGCACGAAAGUGUGGGGAUCAAACAGG
This 253-nucleotide ribosomal RNA is filed under the name uncultured bacterium. RNAcentral's name for it is "partial 16S ribosomal RNA". It matches the Rfam family "Bacterial small subunit ribosomal RNA", at positions 524 to 776 of the family's 1533-position model. The record is from RNAcentral.